GAUGAACGCUAGCGAUAGGCUUAACACAUGCAAGUCGAGGGGCAGCAUGAUCUUAGCUUGCUAAGGUCGAUGGCGACCGGCGCACGGGUGCGUAACGCGUAUGCAACUUGCCUUACAGAGGGGGAUAACCCGUUGAAAGACGGACUAAAACCGCAUACACUUGUAUUAUUGUAUGAUAUUACAAGGAAAUAUUUAUAGCUGUAAGAUAGGCAUGCGUCCCAUUAGCUGGUUGGUGAGGUAACGGCUCACCAAGGCGACGAUGGGUAGGGGAACUGAGAGGUUUAUCCCCCACACUGGUACUGAGACACGGACCAGACUCCUACGGGAGGCAGCAGUGAGGAAUAUUGGUCAAUGGGCGAGAGCCUGAACCAGCCAAGUCGCGUGAAGGAAGACAGUCCUAAGGAUUGUAAACUUCUUUUAUACGGGAAUAACGGGCGAUACGAGUAUUGCAUUGAAUGUACCGUAAGAAUAAGCAUCGGCUAACUCCGUGCCAGCAGCCGCGGUAAUACGGAGGAUGCGAGCGUUAUCCGGAUUUAUUGGGUUUAAAGGGUGCGUAGGUUGUUCGGUAAGUCAGCGGUGAAACCUGAGCGCUCAACGUUCAGCCUGCCGUUGAAACUGCCGGGCUUGAGUUCAGUGGCGGCAGGCGGAAUUCGUGGUGUAGCGGUGAAAUGCAUAGAUAUCACGAGGAACUCCGAUUGCGAAGGCAGCUUGCCAUACUGCGACUGACACUGAAGCACGAAGGCGUGGGUAUCAAACAGG
Molecule: ribosomal RNA, 759 nt
Filed under: uncultured Porphyromonas sp.
Lineage: Bacteria; Pseudomonadati; Bacteroidota; Bacteroidia; Bacteroidales; Porphyromonadaceae
Description: bacterial SSU rRNA
Rfam family: Bacterial small subunit ribosomal RNA
Source: RNAcentral